GAGUUUGAUCCUGGCUCAGAGCGAACGCAGGCGGCGUGCUUAACACAUGCAAGUCGAGUGCGCGUUUCCGUAGCAAUACGGAAAUGGCGCACGGCGCACGGGUGCGUAACACGUGGGUAAUCUGCCCUCUGAUGGGGAAUAACUCGCCGAAAGGCGAGCUAAUACCGCAUAACAUUCCUUGGACUCCGGUUCGAGGAUUCAAAGGCGUAAGUCGUCGGAGGUGGAGCCCGCGCACGAUUAGCUAGUUGGUAGGGUAAUGGCCUACCAAGGCUUUGAUCGUUAGCUGGUCUGAGAGGAUGGCCAGCCACACUGGAACUGAGACACGGUCCAGACUCCUACGGGAGGCAGCAGUGGGGAAUCUUGCACAAUGGGCGAAAGCCUGAUGCAGCGACGCCGCGUGGGGGAUGAAGCUUCUCGGAGUGUAAACCCCUUUCGACCGGGACGAAUACCUCGCAAGAGGGGUGACGGUACCGGUAUAAGAAGCCCCGGCUAACUACGUGCCAGCAGCCGCGGUAAGACGUAGGGGGCCAGCGUUGCUCGGAAUUACUGGGUGUAAAGGGUUCGUAGGCGGUGUGGCAAGUCGGGAGUGAAAUCUCUGAGCUUAACUCAGGGGCUGCUUCCGAAACUGCUGUGCUAGAGUGUGGGAGAGGCGCGUGGAAUUGCAGGUGUAGCGGUGAAAUGCGUAGAUAUCUGCAGGAACACCCGUGGCGAAAGCGGCGCGCUGGACCACUACUGACGCUGAGGAACGAAAGCUAGGGGAGCAAACAGGAUUAGAUACCCUGGUAGUCCUAGCCCUAAACGAUCAGGACUUGGGGUGCCACCCGUUCGGGUGUCGUCCCGGAGCUAACGCGUUAAGUCCUGCACCUGGGGAGUACGGUCGCAAGACUGAAACUCAAAGGAAUUGACGGGGGGCCCGCACAAGCGGUGGAACAUGUGGUUCAAUUCCGACGCUUC
This 954-nucleotide ribosomal RNA is filed under the name uncultured Acidobacteriota bacterium. RNAcentral's name for it is "bacterial SSU rRNA". It matches the Rfam family "Bacterial small subunit ribosomal RNA", at positions 9 to 960 of the family's 1533-position model. The record is from RNAcentral. Lineage: Bacteria; Pseudomonadati; Acidobacteriota.